GAUGAAGAACGUAGCGAAAUGCGAUAAGUAAUGUGAAUUGCAGAAUUCAGUGAAUCAUCGAAUCUUUGAACGCACAUUGCGCCCGCCAGUAUUCUGGCGGGCAUGCCUGUUCGAGCGUCAUUUCAACCCUCAGGCCCCCAGUGCCUGGUGUUGGGGAUCGGCCCAGCCUUCCUGUAAGGCCGCCGGCCCCGAAAUCUAGUGGCGGUCUCGCUGUAGUCCUCCUCUGCGUAGUAGCACAACCUCGCAGUUGGAACGCGGCGGUGGCCAUGCCGUUAAACACCCCACUUCUGAAAGUUGACCUCGGAUCAGGUAGGAAUACCCGUUGAACUUAAGCAUAUCAAUAAGCGGAGGA
RNAcentral lists this unclassified non-coding RNA (352 nucleotides) under soil metagenome. RNAcentral describes it as "partial contains 5.8S ribosomal RNA, internal transcribed spacer 2, and large subunit ribosomal RNA". The stretch from base 1 to 120 matches the Rfam family "5.8S ribosomal RNA", at positions 35 to 154 of the family's 154-position model. The record is from RNAcentral.